Molecule: ribosomal RNA, 490 nt
Filed under: uncultured bacterium
Lineage: Bacteria
Description: partial 16S ribosomal RNA
Rfam family: Bacterial small subunit ribosomal RNA
Source: RNAcentral
AUUGAACGCUGGCGGCAGGCCUAACACAUGCCAGUCGAACGGUAACAGGAAACAGCUUGCUGUUUCGCUGACGAGUGGCGGACGGGUGAGUAAUGUCUGGGAAACUGCCUGAUGGAGGGGGAUAACUACUGGAGACGGUAGCUAAUACCGCAUAACGUCGCAAGACCAAAGAGGGGGACCUUCGGGCCUCUUGCCAUCGGAUGUGCCCAGAUGGGAUUAGCUAGUAGGUGGGGUAACGGCUCACCUAGGCGACGAUCCCUAGCUGGUCUGAGAGGAUGACCAGCCACACUGGAACUGAGACACGGUCCAGACUCCUACGGGAGGCAGCAGUGGGGAAUAUUGCACAAUGGGCGCAAGCCUGAUGCAGCCAUGCCGCGUGUAUGAAGAAGGCCUUCGGGUUGUAAAGUACUUUCAGCGGGGAGGAAGGGAGUAAAGUUAAUACCUUUACUCAUUGACGUUACCCGCAGAAGAAGCACCGGCUAACUCCGUG